AUGUGCUAUAUUUCCUGUUUUCUUGUGCAUAUUAUUCAAAAACAGCCAAAAUCUGGCCAAUUAAAAAAACGCUUAAUCCCGGUUAAGCUGCGCUUAAGCGGACAUUGCUCUAAGUUGUGGCCUUCCGCUCCGCUUACGCUUACCGCUUUCUUGAACAUUGUUCUUAAGAAUAAAAUUGCUCGUUCCAACUUCAUGGAAAUCAUGUCUAUUGCUAUUGAGGGCAAGAAAUAUAUUGAUGAGUUGGAAUCUCGUCUUGAGGAGCAUGAGGUCACCAUUGAUAAAAUGGAAGGUCAUGAGCGUGAUUACGCUAAUGAGAUUGCGGACCUCUCUCAAGCUCUUGAACUUGAACAAACCACCAAGGAAUCUCUUGAGGAGACUUUUGCCCUAGAAUUAUCUAGAGUGAGGGAAUCUCGUGAUAGAGCUCUUGAGGUGGCCAAUGUUUUUGAAACUAAAAAUGAGGAGCUUGAAGUUGCGCAUGCUAAACUCCUUGAGGACUUUGAGCACCUCGAAAAUGGCUCAAGGGUCAUUAAGAGUGAGCUCAUCAAACUCACCGAGUCUCAUGCUCAACUUAAAGCUUCAUAUUCAAAAGAGCUUGCCAAGUUGUCUUCUCCUCUUGUUGUUAAUGAUGAUGCUUGUUCUACUAACUCUAUCUCUUGUGAAGCAUCCAUAUUGAAGGAGAAUGUUGAGCUAAGGGCUCAAUUUGAGUUGCUAUCUAGCAAUUAUGGGAUGUUGGAAGAAAAUCAUGUAAUGCUCACAAACUCUCAUGAUGAUCUUCUAGUAUCCCAUAAUGUGCUAAAUUUAGCUCAUGAGGCCAUGCUUGUUAAGGUAACAUCUAGUGAGCCUCAUGUGGAUACUAGCACUACUUCUAGUCAAAAUGCUAUAUUGCCUUGUGCUAGUCCUCGCGCUUCAUCCAUGCAUAACAUUGGUACAUCUUGUGAUGAAUUGCUUUCCUUGCCUUGUGCUCUAACGAUGAAGGUUAUACUUCCUCUAGUGCUUGUGUUGAGACUAACCAUGUAG
Molecule: ribosomal RNA, 1017 nt
Filed under: Triticum aestivum (bread wheat)
Lineage: Eukaryota; Viridiplantae; Streptophyta; Magnoliopsida; Poales; Poaceae
Description: partial small subunit ribosomal RNA
Source: RNAcentral